AUCUUUUUUCCAGUUAAUAAGUGUGAUGAAUGGGUUGUCACGCACAUGUAUGAGUUGUGCCUUCCUCAAACCUUGUUACGACAUCGGCACAUUACCUAUCUGACA
This is a small nucleolar RNA of Pongo abelii (Sumatran orangutan), 105 nucleotides long. The record is from Ensembl. Lineage: Eukaryota; Metazoa; Chordata; Mammalia; Primates; Hominidae.